Molecule: long non-coding RNA, 810 nt
Organism: Perca flavescens (yellow perch)
Lineage: Eukaryota; Metazoa; Chordata; Actinopteri; Perciformes; Percidae
Exons: 4
Source: RefSeq, a predicted model, not a curated record
GUGUGCGAGCAUUCAUGUGAUCACAGCGUGUGUUUUGGUGCGCGACACCACAACAACCGUCCCUGAUAUUGUUCAGACUCUCAUCGCCUGAGGUUGGUCUCCAUGGAGACGGCACAUCAGUGAUGUCAGCGCACAACGACCUCGCGGUAAACAUCUGCGCGGCGUCCUCUGUGGAGAAUAUGAACACUGGAGUCAAUCAGGGAAUCAAUUGGCUAAUGUGUUUGAGGGCCGCCUGUGUGAAGAUCUGAGCGUGCUCAGGAGUGGUUUAUUUACAGAGGAGGAGACGAGGACAGAAGCUGUCCCCACGGUUACCAGCUUGCCUGCAUAUUCCAUGUGCAGAGUCAGGUGUGAGGCUGAGGACAGGAUGGAGAAGAGAGGCUGACUGGACCAGCAUCCUUCCUGCUCUCCCUCUGACUGCAGACACCGGCAGACAGCAGGAGAAUUCCUUUGAUACCGGAGCAACACGGGGAACAGAUACCAGCUCCUGGCAUGGAGGAUUGGGUGGAUCCACCAAGAGAAAGAAGGCGAAGAAGGGCCGAGUGAGGCACUUCGGAAAGUUCAACUCAGACACGCACGGCUGUAGUGGAGUCCAAACCCGGAGCUGCAGCGCGUCCUCAGACUGCUCAGGAUGCUUGGGGCUGUACACCUGUAACCUGCUGCUUGGAACGUGCCAGCUGAAGGGCCUGUCCCAACAGACAGAUAAAUUCCUCCAGACCCUGAGGGAUUUCUGACCACCACACUGUACUCCCUGGAAACACUCCGUUAUAUUGAGUUAGCUGCAUAUCCUCAUUUCUUCAUAUCAGAACAGGU